UGCCUAGGAAAUUGCCCUGAUGUGGGGGAUAACCAUUGGAAACGAUGGCUAAUACCGCAUAACGCCUACGGGCCAAAGAGGGGGACCUUCGGGCCUCUCGCGUCAGGAUAUGCCUAGGUGGGAUUAGCUAGUUGGUGAGGUAAGGGCUCACCAAGGCGACGAUCCCUAGCUGGUCUGAGAGGAUGAUCAGCCACACUGGAACUGAGACACGGUCCAGACUCCUACGGGAGGCAGCAGUGGGGAAUAUUGCACAAUGGGCGCAAGCCUGAUGCAGCCAUGCCGCGUGUGUGAAGAAGGCCUUCGGGUUGUAAAGCACUUUCAGUCGUGAGGAAGGUAGUGUAGUUAAUAGCUGCAUUAUUUGACGUUAGCGACAGAAGAAGCACCGGCUAACUCCGUGCCAGCAGCCGCGGUAAUACGGAGGGUGCGAGCGUUAAUCGGAAUUACUGGGCGUAAAGCGCAUGCAGGUGGUUUGUUAAG
Molecule: ribosomal RNA, 477 nt
Filed under: Vibrio sp.
Lineage: Bacteria; Pseudomonadati; Pseudomonadota; Gammaproteobacteria; Vibrionales; Vibrionaceae
Description: bacterial SSU rRNA
Rfam family: Bacterial small subunit ribosomal RNA
Source: RNAcentral